Non-coding RNA from Paralichthys olivaceus (Japanese flounder), 426 nucleotides. NCBI's taxonomy places the organism in Eukaryota, Metazoa, Chordata, Actinopteri, Pleuronectiformes, Paralichthyidae. The record is from RefSeq and is a predicted model, not a curated record.
UUCGCACCUCUUUGUCUCGUGUUGUUGCAGCAGGUGGAAUGACUCGUGUCGAUCGUGGCACGAAUCUCUGAGUCGUCCCUCUCUCUCAGCUCGCUGGUAUAAAUGUGUAUCAGACCGUGAUCACAUGUUGUGGCUCCAGUUUCCUCUCAGCGCGGAGCGGAGCACGUGACGCGGCUCUCCGUGGUGUCAGAGUGGAGAAGAAACAGGUGUUAUUCCUUUGUAAAUACUGUUAUUUGUAUAUACUGUAAAUGAUGACGUCCAUGGGCGGGAACCGAGCCCGGGGCAGCUGGGAGCAGACACAGGGCCAGACACAGAGUCAGACACAGCACAAGCAGAGGCCUCAGGCCACUGCAGAGCAGAUCCGACUCGCACAGAUGAUUUCAGACCACAAUGAUGCCGACUUUGAAGAGAAGGUCAAACAGGUGA